RNAcentral lists this long non-coding RNA (5719 nucleotides) under Sus scrofa (pig). Its description in RNAcentral is "lncRNA (ENSSSCG00060037871.1)". Lineage: Eukaryota; Metazoa; Chordata; Mammalia; Artiodactyla; Suidae. The record is from RNAcentral.
CAGGAAUAGGUAUGUACCUACCAAAAGGACUCUUGUGCUUCAGAGAAAUAGAAAAUCUUUUCAACUUUCACCAGCAUUCCGCUUUUAAUGGUGUUCCUAAAUACACAGACCGCCCCGGUACAGAGGGGAUAUUAAAGUUCAAAGAGACAGAGAAAUCAGGUUGAAGAUGGAAGUUUGUUUUUGUGGACUAAGAAAAGACUUCCAGUCUCAAGAAAGACUUGGACGAUGGGCCAUCUGAUGUGCGCUACGUGUUGUCAAGUUUAUUUACAAACUUCUCCUCCAACAUUACAGACCAAAGAGGUUAUCUGAAACCUGAAUGAUAACUGCAAUGUAUUUUCAGGAUGUCCAGGAUAAUAAUAUUGGGUAGAAGAGUUAAGAGUGGACACCCUAAUUUUCUUUCCUAUCCCAGGGAUGAAGUAUUCAAUUUUUCAUCAAAAGUAUGAUGGUAGGUGGAGUUUUUCAUCCAUGCCUUUUAUUUGAUUGAAAGACUUUUUUUUAAAUUCCUAGUUUGCGGAGAGAUUUUAUCAUAAGUGGUCAUUGGCAAUAUAUAUAUUUUAAAUUAUUGCCUCUCAUUUCUUGUAUGGGGUGAUCUCAGCUUCCAUUGUUCCAGUAAUCUGUCUCUUUCAUGUGGAUUUGCCUCUGAUUGAGUCCCUAAUCUUCCUGCUUUCACCAAUAUUAGCAGAGCCUAAAAAAAUUCCAAGUUUUUUGGACAUAAACAGCUGUUAAGCUAAAUGUUGCCCACUCUGAAGAGUUAUUUUUUAACACUAGAUAUCAGACUUCACACUGCUUAUUGAACAACUUGGUGUUAAUCAUCUACAAGUUCUUUUACUCCAUACAGUUUUCAUUCUUUCACAGGAAUAUAACUGAAAUUUAAUAAAAUAUAGUAGUGUUUCACAUUAUCUGAACCAAAAUCCAAUAAUCAGGUUCAAAGUAAAGGAAAUUAGUUCAUUCUAACCUGUUGUUCAGGUUCAUUCUCUUUUGUAAGUGUUAACAGGUAAUAUGUAUAUUUAGUCUUAUAAUAGGACUUAUUUUAUGCUUUAUCCAUUUUUACUUUUGAAAUGUAUAUGAAAAACAAGGACAUUAAAUAAAAAACCUGUGAUUUUAAAUUUGUAAGAAAUACCAACAAGACCUUAUGACAUAUUUGUUUUCUCUUAAAAGAAGAUACAUUUUCUAGCUCUGUCUGCUGAAAAUAAUGACAACUCUAUCACAAUUAGUAGCCAUAGGAUCCAGUGUGUAGACUAAAACACAAUUUUCCACUAAAGCAAUUCAGGGCUUCUUGCAGAAAUUGCUGCUUCCAAGAUUGGAGUAGGAAAUUUAAAAGAUGAGCUUUUAUCUGCUUUCAACUUGAAGGACUCCUAUAGGCCUGAGAUGGGAUGAUUUGAACAUAAAUGUAAUCAUGCAGAAAUGGCCUGAAAUCCAAUAUUGAUGUUUAAAAUGUUUAUGUGUUAUAAUUACAUAUUUUUUAAAAAGCAAAACACUCAUUAAUAAAAUUUCAAUAUGGCUAGAUUACUAAUUCAUUAUUCUUAAAAAUUAUACUCAAAGGAGAAGAAUCCAACAUUUACUCUCCGUUUCCUAUAUAAACUAUAUUCAAAUAAUUGCUUCAUUAUAGAUUAUCUGAUUAAUGUAAAUAGAAGAAAUGAUAGGAAAAGAAAAUUAUGGUUUGAUAACCCAUAAGGAACGAUGGAUUUGGGCAAUGAUUAUCCAUGGCUGUCACAAACUUUAAGUGACGUGUUGAUGAGGAAUUUUAUAACAGAGGGAUAAUGGUGACCACACCUGACCGAUCAAUCAUUAACACCACAGAAAGAAAGGCAAUCAGAUAUUUAAUGUCUCCUGAUAUGAUAUGAUAAGAAGUACACAUGUUCUUUCCAAACAACUUGAACUGGUUCAUGAUUAAGCUGCUAGACCUAGUUACCAUUUAUAAGAAGUCAGAGGAUAGAGUAAUAUGUUAAAUGGCACCACAAGGAUAUCAAAUAUGGAAAGUAGGAAAACUUACAGGAGAACUGACCUCUGACCUGCUUUCUUUUUCUUUUUUUUUUUUUUUGUCCUUUUUUUAAGGCUGCACCUGCGGCAUAUGGAGGUUCCCAGGCUAGGGGUAUUGAAUUGGAGCUGUAGUUGCUGGCCUACACCACAGCCAUAGCAACAUGGGAUCAGAGCCACGUCUGCAACCUACACCACAGCUCACGGCAACACUGGAUCCUUAAUCCACUGAGCAAGGCCAGGAAUCAAACUUGCAUCUUCAUGGAUACUAGUUAGUUUCUGCUGAGCCACGAUGGGAACUCCUGACCUGCUUUCUUUAAUAAAUAAAUAGUAAGAAAAAACAAGAGGUGAAGUAAAAAAUGAGGGGAAGGAAGGGAAACUUAAUGGAUAUAUCGACCAAUACAAUGUGUGGAUAUUGUUUGGAUUGUGACAAAAGUCAACUGUGAAAAGACAUGUCUUUGAGACAAUCUGAGAAAUUUAAACACUGAGUAGACAUUGACAAUAUUAAGUAAUUAUUGAUAUUUUAUUAAUUAGGAUAAAGACAUUGCACUUAUUUAUUGUGUCAGAGGUUAAACACUGAAGCAGUUUUGGAUAAAAUAUGAUAUCUUGAAUUUGCUUUGGAAUGUUCCAGUAUGUAAUGGAGGUAGUGAAUAAAAUGUGUGGGAGGCAUAUAGGGUGAAACUAUCAUUUGCCAUAAAAACUAGAACACCUUUGAGUCAAGGGGGUGCUAUUAAUAGUUGUUCAGAUUAAAAACAAGCAUAAGCAGUCUUGGCCCUUCAGGCAGGUCUUCUCAGGACCAUGGAAUGCAAAGCUCUGGUCUGGACACGGACAUUCAAGUUCUCAUGGGAAAGUUCAAGAGGCAGUGCUCCCACAGAGUGCAUUUUGUUUCAGCAGGUGAGAGCUGCCCAGGUGUGAUGAGAUGGUGUCUGACCAAGGAGAGGCUAUGCAUGGUUUCUAGGCUGUUCUGAAUUUAAUCUUGCUUCCUGCCUCCUGAGCUGAAGUAGAAACUCCUUAUCUUAGUGAAGAGGCCUCCUUAAGUAGGCCCCACCAAUAGCAAUGACUUCAUGCUCACCUCAGGCCAAUGGGAAUCUAAUCUUGGCUAUUGUCCUUUUACUUCAAAUAACAUUUCAUAGAAUAUAUGACAGGAUAGCAGCUAAGGAAAGCUGCUGCCUAGUCCACUAAAGGGGCAGGAAAGACAGGGAAGCACUGAAGUGUCUGCAGGCUUGUCUAUAAUAUGAAGUACCACAUGGUAGCCAGGCGCUAUCUCAUUCAGUUUGUAUUUAUUUCACAAAUAUUUACUGAGCCUUCACUACAUGCCAGAUUCUGAGCUAGGCUAUGAGAACCAAGAUAAGAGAAUCAGUACCUGAUCUGAGUUCUAAUGGGGCAGAUAGGCAAAUGCAGACUAGUUCCUGCCAGGAGCAUAAAUGUGGAGACACAUAGUUCAUUGAUUCAUCCAAACAACUAUGUACAGUGAGCAUUAUUUUGGACACAGGAGAAACGAUACUGGGCAAGAUAAUCACUCCCUUUCUCCUGAGAAAGAUCAUCAUCAGGCUUGAGUGGCCAGGAAGGGCUUCACACAGGUAAGCAAAUGCUGAGCAGAGUCUUGGAGGAGAAAACCUGAGAGAGGGAAUAAGGGCUGGGUAUUUCAAGCAGGGAGAACCGCAGAGGCCAAGGAACAGAGGUAGAAAAAAGCCAAUGCAAAUGUCAGAAGGAGAAAAGCUAAAUUCUCAACCUUGGGUGGAGCCCAUCCUUUUAGCUAAUAGCCAAAUGUGCCAAUCGAUUGUUUUAAGGGGUGAAUAUCCAUGGACAUCAACUUCUCUCAUUACACUGAGUGCAGGCUCAGCUUUCAUCUCUGCUGAAGCUCACAUCCAACUCUUGCAGCUCCCACAGUCUGGGAAAAGAGUUAGGAAGAAUAAAACAUGCCCAGGCAGAGCUGGACUUUUCCAUCAUGUUGGCCCAAGCCCUUCAGCUGGCAUUGUGUCCAGGGAUUUUUCUCCAGACUGUUAUUGGGCAUCAGGGAAAUCUAAACAUCUUUAUUGGAGAAGAAUUCUAACUAAUGAAAUAGAAUGACUGCCAAUAGCACAGUCUUAGGUACCAAAACUCAUCCAAAAUUACCAAGGGACUCCCUAUCUGGGUUUCCAGUUUUUAAAAUAUUGUUUAAGCCAUAGCUAUUAAAGUUUGGAGUUGGGUAGAAGGGGUGGGGCUUGGGAUUUAUGGCUAACUCUGUAGGUCACUAGGGCUGACAGGCACAGAGUAAGUGGUCCCACUAGAAUGCAUUACUACCCCACAUUACUUCUCCUAUGACUUGUUUUUCUAUCAUUUGUUCCCCAAGCUCCAACCCAUGGGCUAGCUGCCAAACUGGAAACAGUAGAGCAAGUGGCAUAAAAAUGACAUUUCAGCCUAUGGCAUGGACUUAGGGAAUACAUAACAAUUUGCAUGAAUUUAUAUUUUCAGGUCAGAUUUUUAAAUCUUGAAAUUGUAGAAAAAAACUACAGGCAUGACCUUAGAGCAAAGUUUUUUUUUCUCUUAUCACUGAGGAAUCAUAAAGAAUGGGACAAGUUCCAGGUUAUGGUCUGACAUGUAAAAAACUCAUCUCUACCAUCCUCACAACAAGCAAAAAGCUAAAGACACAAAACCAAAACUUCUUUGAUUCAUCAGGGAAUAGAGAUCAUAGGGCAAAAUGAUGCCUCCAAAAUUGUUGAAAGAGUGGAAUACAAAGAAUAACUGGAGAUAGAAGCUGUCAGAGUCAGGAACGAGGAUCCUGCAUAGUAACAGGAGGAUUUUAGCUAAAAUAAACCCAAAGAUAAUAGGGAAUACAAAAACAAGGACACCAGAAGAAACUGAAGCCUUAGACACCUAUAGCUAUAGCAGAGUAAACACAACUCCUAAUCAGAUGAAAAUAAAUCCUCAUGAUAAAGACUUACUAACCUCAAUUUCUAUUAGCCAAUGUGUAUUGCUUUACUUUCAACAAGAAAUGGCAAGGCAUGCCUAAAGGAAGAAAGAAGACAAUAUGAACAGAUAAAGCAAGCAACAGAAUCAGACUCUGUAUGACAUAGAUUUUGGAAUUAUCAGAACAGGAACUUAAAAUAAUAAUGAUUAAUAUGCUAAGGACUCUAAUGGAAGAACUGGACAGCAUGCAAGAACAAAUGGGUAAUAUAAGCAGAGGCUUAGAAACUCUAAGAAAGAAUCCACAGGAAAUUCUAGAAAUCAAAUAUACUCUAGCAGAAAGAGGAAUGCCUUUGGAGUUCCCAUUGUGGCUCAGCAGUAAUGAACCCAAUUAAUGUCCUUAAGGAUGAGGGUUUGAUCCCUGGCCUCUCUCGGUGGGUUAAGGAUAUGAUGUUGCCAUGAGCUGUGGUGUAGCUCACAGAUGCAGCUUGGAUCCCACAUUGCUGUGGCUCUGGUGCUAGUACAGAACCUGUGGCAGGCUGGCAGCUGUAGCUCUGAUUCGAUGCCUAGCCUGGGAACUUCCAUAUGCUGCAGGUGCAGCCUUAAAAACCAAAAAAAAAAAAAAAAAAAAAUAGAAAAAGAAAAAGAAAAGAAAGAGGAAUGCCUUUGAUGAGCUCACCAGUGGACUGGACACAUUUGAGGAAAGAAUAUGUGAUCCUGAAUCAGUGAACAAACGGAAAUUUCCCAAACUGAAAUGCAAAGGGAAAAAAGAAUAAUAAAAAAGGAACAGAAUAUCUAAGAACUGGAACACAAUUACAACAAGUGAAGCACACGCAUAGUGAGAAUAUUAGAAGGA